GUGGGGAAUCUUGCGCAAUGGGCGAAAGCCUGACGCAGCAACGCCGCGUGAGCGAAGAAGGCCUUCGGGUUGUAAAGCUCUGUCAGGGGGAAAGAAGGCACCUGGGUUAAUAGCCCAAGGGCUGACGGUACCCCCAAAGGAAGCCACGGCUAACUACGUGCCAGCAGCAGCGGUAAUACGUAGGUGGCAAGCGUUGUCCGGAAUCAUUGGGCGUAAAGAGCGCGUAGGUGGCUUGUCAGGUCUGAUGUGAAAUCCUGGGGCUCAACCCCAGGCCUGCAUCAGAAACCGGCUUGCUAGAGUCUGGGAGAGGAGAGUGGAAUUCCUGGUGUAGCGGUGAAAUGCGUAGAUAUUAGGAGGAACACCAGUGGCGAAGGCGACUUUCUGGACUGAACCUGACGCUGAGGCGCGAAAGCAUGGGGAGCGAACGGGAUUAGAAACCCUUGUAGUCC
Molecule: ribosomal RNA, 449 nt
Filed under: uncultured bacterium
Lineage: Bacteria
Description: partial 16S ribosomal RNA
Rfam family: Bacterial small subunit ribosomal RNA
Source: RNAcentral